AUGGAUCUUCUCCAGUUUGUGCUCAACUUUAAAGGCACACCACCAUGGCUGAACUCGACGGCCAUUACCGCCCUUACGGACCGUUGGAGGCCGGAGACGCACUCUUUUCACCUUGCUCUUGGUGAGAUGACCGUCACUUUGGAGGAUAUUGCGAUGAUCUCCGGUCUUCCGAUCGAGGGCAGGGCUCUUACCGGGAAGGUGAGGUCUGAGGGGUGGCGACAAAGGGUUGCAGGUUUGGUUGGUGUUGAACCUCCCCCGUGGAUUCAUGAAACAAAGAAGGAUCCUAGGCCAUCUGGUGUUUUGUUCUCGUGGCUACAAGAACAUUUUUACGAGUGCCCAGAGAAUGCCAGUCCGGCUGUUGUGGAGAGGUACGCCAGGGCUUACUUAUGGAAUCUUUUGACUCAAGUGGUGUAA
RNAcentral lists this ribosomal RNA (414 nucleotides) under Triticum aestivum (bread wheat). Its description in RNAcentral is "partial small subunit ribosomal RNA". Lineage: Eukaryota; Viridiplantae; Streptophyta; Magnoliopsida; Poales; Poaceae. The record is from RNAcentral.